GAUGAACGCUGGCGGCGUGCCUAAUACAUGCAAGUCGAGCGAACAGACGAGGAGCUUGCUCCUCUGACGUUAGCGGCGGACGGGUGAGUAACACGUGGAUAACCUACCUAUAAGACUGGGAUAACUUCGGGAAACCGGAGCUAAUACCGGAUAAUAUAUUGAACCGCAUGGUUCAAUAGUGAAAGACGGUUUUGCUGUCACUUCUAGAUGGAUCCGGGCGGCAUUAGCUAGUUGGUAAGUUAACGGCUUACCAAGGGGACGAGGCGUAGCCGACCGGAGAGGGGGGUAGGCCACCCUAGAACUGAGACACGGUCCAGACGCCUACGGGAGGCAGCAGAAGGGAAUCUUCCGCAAUGGGCGAAAGCCUGACGGAACAGGGCGGCGUGAGUGAUGAAGGUCUUGGGAGCGUAAAACUCUGUUUUGAGGUAAAAACAAAUGUGGAAGGAGCUAUGCACGUCUUGACGGUACCUAAUAAAAAAGCCCCGGCUAACUACGUG
Molecule: ribosomal RNA, 497 nt
Filed under: uncultured bacterium
Lineage: Bacteria
Description: partial 16S ribosomal RNA
Rfam family: Bacterial small subunit ribosomal RNA
Source: RNAcentral